AAACGACGAAUUAUUAGCUAUGAAAGAUGAAAGGUCUUUCCAUAUCCGUAUUUUCUUGUUUUUUGUGUAUUUUAUUUCUGUUUCUUUUUAUUUUUCAAUUU
Molecule: non-coding RNA, 101 nt
Filed under: Pteridomonas danica
Lineage: Eukaryota; Dictyochophyceae; Pedinellales
Source: RNAcentral